This is a long non-coding RNA of Lytechinus pictus (painted urchin), 1813 nucleotides long. RefSeq lists it as uncharacterized. The record is from RefSeq and is a predicted model, not a curated record. NCBI's taxonomy places the organism in Eukaryota, Metazoa, Echinodermata, Echinoidea, Temnopleuroida, Toxopneustidae. The transcript has 3 exons.
AGACUACAGACAUUUGAACAAUAUGCGGAAGAAGAUGGGUCUGGAACUAGAAAGCUAGGCUCUGACUUGUCUACUACAGCAAGGAAUGUGCCAGCGGCCAAUCUGAUGAACAUGUGGCAGAAGAUUUGGCAAUGGAUGAAGAAACACUGAGAUUGAAGUGCAACCACAGGUGGAGGCUUCACCCAAACUUUUCAGACGGACAUGAGAUACAAAGUUACCCAAGUAUAAAUGGUUGAAGGUUUAGGAGAGCCAGACAAGAAGGCAGGAAAUGUGAUGUCACUUUUCCAUUUCAGUUACUUCAAUAAACAUGGACAGCAGCCGGAGCAACAGCACCAGCAGCCAAAACCACAACUGCAGUAAGAGAUGCAACAACCACACCAACAACAUGAAGAGCAACAGCAAAAAUAACAAUUGCAGCAGAAAUGCAACAACCACAUUGGCAACAUCAACAGCAGCAGGAGCUCCAAUAACCAUGCAGGGAACAUUGGGCGCAACAUAAAUAACUUCAUAAAGAGAUGCAACAACCAAGUGUUAAACAUCAACAGCAGUAGCAACAACGACAGUAGAAACAAAGCCAACAGCAAGGAUUCUAACAAGCAAUCAUACAGGUAACAACACAAGCUGCAACAUCAAUAAAUGCAUCAGGAGAUGCAACAGCCACACUCGUAAACAGCAGCAGUAGCAGCGAUGACAACAGCAACCACACAGGCAACACCUUCAGCAACAUCAGUAGCAACAACAACUAAUUGCACCAGGAGAUGCAACAAUCACACCCACAACACCAAGAGCAGCAGCAAAAACAACAGCAAUUCCAGCAACCACGAUGACAACAGCAGCAGCAACACCAACAACACUAAUCAAUAUUGAAAAACUUGUACGAAAGUCAAUGAGGCCACAGUUUUCAAACAUUAUCGGACAUUAUUGAUUAAAAAAUGCACAAUAAUUUAUUCGGGUUGAAGAAAAUUAUGUUUGAAAAAAUGUGUACAUUUGAAGAUGUUUCCUAUGUAUUGAUUAAUAUUUAUGAAAAUAUAGUUUUAAAGAUAAAAAUAUGAUUCUUGAAAUGUCUACUUUUUAUUUGUCAUUGACUAAAAAUAAAUACAUUUUCUUUGAAUUUUCUUAAUGAAAUGAAAAAUAAGCAAUUUUUUAAAAUCUUAUAUUCAAAAUCAACUGAAAUUGAUCGAUUUUAGCUGCUAAGGUAUACAAAAGGCUGAUUAGUUGGUGAAAAUGGGUUUUGUCGGUAGGUGAAGACCACCGACAAAAUUAGUCGGUAGUUUCCAAUGAUUCGUCGGAGAAAAUCACCGACAAAUUUUCAUGAAAUGGAAUUUAGUCGGUGAUAGCAAAAUUGUCGAUGAAAAUUAAAUUAGUCGGUGAAAAUCACAAUUAGUCGGAGAAAACCACCGACUAAUUGUUUGAUGAAACGCCCCCCCCCCUAGAGGACAGUCAGUGUCUUUGAGUCGAUCAGGAUUUCUGUCUAACAGGCUGAUGGGUGAUCCAAACUCCUUACGUGCGCAGGACAGGCGGUUGUGUACUCCCCAGGGUAGGAAUUAAUAAUUUAUUUUUAGGGGCUACUUUUUUUUUUACGUUGGGGUUACCACUGAAUAUCUUGGGGCUAUUUUCUAAUUCAUGGGGCUACUUUUUUUAAUCGCAUAUCAGCAAUUACCUUUUGACAUUCCGAGACUCACUGUGACGCCUAAUAGCUCAGAACAUAUUUAACUGUAAUUACUGUAUACAUGUAAGUUUGCAUUUUGGUUGAGGAUUUGUUCAAAUAGACUCAAAGAUCACAUAUAUGAUAUUAAAGAAAGGUGUUCACCAU